This 267-nucleotide ribosomal RNA is filed under the name Staphylococcus aureus. RNAcentral describes it as "partial 16S ribosomal RNA". It matches the Rfam family "Bacterial small subunit ribosomal RNA", at positions 1 to 257 of the family's 1533-position model. The record is from RNAcentral. Lineage: Bacteria; Bacillati; Bacillota; Bacilli; Caryophanales; Staphylococcaceae.
UUUAUGGAGAGUUUGAUCCUGGCUCAGGAUAAACGCUGGCGGCGUGCCUAAUACAUGCAAGUCGAGCGAACGGACGAGAAGCUUGCUUCUCUGAUGUUAGCGGCGGACGGGUGAGUAACACGUGGAUAACCUACCUAUAAGACUGGGAUAACUUCGGGAAACCGGAGCUAAUACCGGAUAAUAUUUUGAACCGCAUGGUUCAAAAGUGAAAGACGGUCUUGCUGUCACUUAUAGAUGGAUCCGCGCUGCAUUAGCUAGUUGGUAAGG